This 253-nucleotide ribosomal RNA is filed under the name uncultured bacterium. Its description in RNAcentral is "partial 16S ribosomal RNA". It matches the Rfam family "Bacterial small subunit ribosomal RNA", at positions 524 to 776 of the family's 1533-position model. The record is from RNAcentral.
UACGUAGGGUGCAAGCGUUACUCGGAAUUACUGGGCGUAAAGCGUGCGUAGGUGGUUUGUUAAGUCUGAUGUGAAAUCCCCGGGCUCAACCUGGGAAUGGCAUUGGAUACUGGCAGGCUAGAGUGCGGUAGAGGGUGGUGGAAUUCCCGGUGUAGCAGUGAAAUGCGUAGAGAUCGGGAGGAACAUCUGUGGCGAAGGCGGCCACCUGGACCAGCACUGACACUGAGGCACGAAAGCGUGGGGAGCAAACAGG